UGAGUGAUCGACUAAUUGGCAAGUCUCCAUUUUUUGGGAGUGUACGAUGCUUGUUCGAAUCAAGCUCACUCAG
This 73-nucleotide transfer RNA is filed under the name Cystobasidium sp. RNAcentral describes it as "tRNA-Gln". The record is from RNAcentral. Lineage: Eukaryota; Fungi; Basidiomycota; Cystobasidiomycetes; Cystobasidiales; Cystobasidiaceae.